GUUGAAACUGUGAUAAUCAGUCCAUUUCUGUCUCUCCCCAUCCAUCUGUCCAGUUUCUCUUUCCAGAAGAUUCCAUGAGACUGAAGAUGGCCACUUGCAGCUCCUGGCUACUACAGCAAUAAAGAAUGAGAAUCCUGGGGGGAAUUCUUGUCUCCAGAGAUCAAGCAAAGCUCCAAGAGAGAGUACAAGAGCGAGCAGGACAUGGGCUUCAGAUGUGAGAGCAUGGUGCAGAGAGACAGUCCAUGAGCUCAGAUCUGCCCACACUGGCAAGUUUGGCUAUGUUUACUGUCAUCGUGACAAAGACCUGACUGAAAUAACGCAUUGGAGGAAGGCUAUCUUGAGCUUAUGCUUCUGAGGGCUCCUUUCUGGUCUGGUUUGGACCUGACAUGAGGCUGACCAUGACAGAGGCCGACAGGAAGCAGAGUGUAGCAGUUUGCAUCAUGGAGGCCAGAGUGUUGAGAAAGAGGAUGGCCACACCCCUGGCUUUCUCCCUCCUCACAGGACAGUCCUUCUCUCUUAGGUAACCCUCUCAGGGACACACUACCACAGACACACCCAGCAUUCUAAUCCCCAGGUACUUCUCAGCCAUGUCAUCAGAGUGAAAAACUAGAUAAUCAUUGUGGCUAGCUUUCUUCCUCCAUAACUCCCAGUGUCCAUGUAGUUUUCGUAGGUAGGUAGGUAGGUCAUCUUACCCCUGAAAUCAGUUUCCUUACUGAAAGCAUGGGAAUAAGAAAUCCACCAUAGAGGACAAUUGGGAAGAUUAAAUGUUACAGUGUAAAUGAUGAGAUACAGUACAGAGAGCUUGGAAGACAGAUGGGCUAUGGGUAUGUCAAGCUCUCCCUGAAGUACCAUGCUCUACAGCAAUCGCUGCAUAGGCUUCUAACUGGAGAGCUUGGAAGAGUGAGUGGUGUAUGGAGAGAAAGAAACCUAGACAAAUGAGCGAGCAUACAGUCUUCAUGCUGAUCAGUUUCCUGGUGGAAAUAGAGUGAUAAGAUACAGAGUGUCUCAGGGAUUGCAUUGCUGUGAACAGACGCCAUGACCGAGGCGACUCUUAUAAGGACAACAUUUAAUUGAGGCUGGCUUACAGGUUCAGAGGUUCAGUCCAUUAUCAUCAAGGCAGGAGCAUGGAAGCAUCCAGGCAGGCGUGGUGUGGGAGGAGCUGAGAGUUCUAUAUCUUAAUCUGAAGGCCACUAGCAAAAUACUGGCUUCCUGGCAGCUAGGACAAGGGUCUUAAAGCCCACCCCCACAGUGAAACACUUCCUCCAACAAGGACACACUUACUCCAACAAAGCUACACGUACUCCAGCAAGGCCACAUCUAUUCCAGCAAGG
RNAcentral lists this long non-coding RNA (1331 nucleotides) under Mus spicilegus (steppe mouse). RNAcentral describes it as "lncRNA (ENSMSIG00000016510.1)". The record is from RNAcentral. Lineage: Eukaryota; Metazoa; Chordata; Mammalia; Rodentia; Muridae.